This 417-nucleotide ribosomal RNA is filed under the name uncultured bacterium. RNAcentral's name for it is "bacterial SSU rRNA". It matches the Rfam family "Bacterial small subunit ribosomal RNA", at positions 958 to 1375 of the family's 1533-position model. The record is from RNAcentral.
AACGCGAAGAACCUUACCUGGUCUUGACAUCCACGGAAGUUUUCAGAGAUGAGAAUGUGCCUUCGGGAACCGUGAGACAGGUGCUGCAUGACUGUCGUCAGCUCGUGUUGUGAAAUGUUGGGUUAAGUCCCGCAACGAGCGCAACCCUUAUCCUUUGUUGCCAGCGGUCCGGCCGGGAACUCAAAGGAGACUGCCAGUGAUAAACUGGAGGAAGGUGGGGAUGACGUCAAGUCAUCAUGGCCCUUACGACCAGGGCUACACACGUGCUACAAUGGCGCAUACAAAGAGAAGCGACCUCGCGAGAGCAAGCGGACCUCAUAAAGUGCGUCGUAGUCCGGAUUGGAGUCUGCAACUCGACUCCAUGAAGUCGGAAUCGCUAGUAAUCGUGGAUCAGAAUGCCACGGUGAAUACGUUCCC